GUAAAGCGCGUUUUCCAUGCUGGAAAUUUUUUAGGGUGCAAUACGUGCUUUUCUUUCAGUUUCAGGCGACAUUUUAGGGCCGCCAACUCUAAGACUGGACAUUUAAAAUUAAUGUUAUGUUCUAUGUCAUUUGAUGAUCAUUUGUGGUGACGGAGGUAUAAAUAUGCAUGGCCUGCGUUCUAAUAUGUAUAGUAAUUUUUUGCUGAUAUACCCACAAUCAACGUGAUGUAUUUUAAAGUUUUGUUAGCGACCGUUACACUAUUCUUAUGGAGCUUUCCUUCAUCAGAGGCUAUAAAAUGUGGAAGUUGCUAUAGCAGUUCAGCUGAUUGUCGAAGUGGAAGUUUUACUUCCGAAAGCGAAUGUACCAAGGAUGAAUCGUUGUGCUUCUCGUUGGAACAGGCAAACCGUCUCGUUUUAAGAGGGUGUGCUGUUAAAAAUGGGAAAAGUACGGUUUGCGAGGCUUUAAAAGAGUAUUAUCCAUACAAAAGUUGCGAGGAAUGUUCAUCUGACAUGUGUAAUAAAUUUAAUUACGGAGAUUAGUCGUAUUCCGCAUAAUUUGUUGUUAUGGCCAAGGUUCCUACCCUACGGAAUGUGCAGAACCCACCAGCGAAACGGGAAGAUUUGAGGUAGGGCUUGCAGCUCGACGAAGUGGUGGGGAAGAAAGUAUUUAUAAUGGAGCGUUGGACUGGUGAGCAUCGCGGUUACCCAUUUAAAGUCUGUUAUCAAAAUGGUGACAACUGUUUUGGCACUACCACCCUUUUUUUUAGACGUCCACCCAGUUUGCUAGAUGUUGUUUACCCACUUUUUUUUAGCGCGAUACCGUUGUUAAAAUCGUCGGCACUAAACUUUCACCAUUUAGAUAAUAAGCUUUAACUACGUAACCGCAAUCCCCACCCGUCCAAAGCUCCAUUAUAAAUAAAUGCCAAACCACGCAGGUCUUGGCAAACCGGCUACGUUCUUCCUCGCGACCUGCCGCAAACCCCCACCUCAAAUUUUCCCGUUUCACUGGCGGACCCUGUAUUUUGAGCUAAAAUCAUCUAAAUAAAGCUAAUAACGCAGU
Molecule: long non-coding RNA, 1060 nt
Organism: Photinus pyralis (common eastern firefly)
Lineage: Eukaryota; Metazoa; Arthropoda; Insecta; Coleoptera; Lampyridae
Exons: 4
Source: RefSeq, a predicted model, not a curated record